This 443-nucleotide long non-coding RNA is filed under the name Pan troglodytes (chimpanzee). Its description in RNAcentral is "long non-coding RNA NONPTRT003521". Lineage: Eukaryota; Metazoa; Chordata; Mammalia; Primates; Hominidae. The record is from RNAcentral.
CAACAGAAUCCUAAGAAAAGUGUUAUUUGAUUCACUCAGGUUCAGAUACUAGUGACUAAAAACAAGUGUACUUAGUCUCUCAAGACUUUAUGGGAAACAAUCAACAAAGUGAAAAGCCAAUCCACAGAAUGGGAGAAAAUAUCUGUGAACUACCCAUCUGACAAGGGAUUAAUAAUCAGAAUAUAUAAGGAGCUCAAACAACUCUAUAGGAGAAAAUCUAUUAGGUUUUUGCAAAAGUAAUUGCGGUUUUUGCCAUUACUUUUAGAUUACUUUCACACCAAUUUAAUAGUAAUCUAAUUUAAAUAAUAGGCCUAUUAGUGAGAAUGUAAAUUAGCACAACUACAAUGGAGAAUACUUUGACAGUUCCUCAAAAACCUAAAAAUACACCUGUGAUAUGAUGCAGCAAUUAGGUUGCUUUUCUUUUUUUCAAAAAAAGUAAGUAU